UUAUACGGCUGUACCACCCUGAACGCACCCGAUCUUUUCUGAUCUCAGAAGCUAAGCAAGGUCCAGCCUGGUUAGUACUUGAAUGGGAGACCACCUGGGAAUACCUGGUGCUGUAGGCC
Molecule: ribosomal RNA, 119 nt
Organism: Sorex araneus (European shrew)
Lineage: Eukaryota; Metazoa; Chordata; Mammalia; Eulipotyphla; Soricidae
Source: Ensembl